UCAGGCCUAACACAUGCAAGUCGAGGGGUACAGUAGCAAUACUGGAGACCGGCGCACGGGUGCGUAACGCGUAUGCAAUCUACCUUUUACAGGGGGAUAGCCCAGAGAAAUUUGGAUUAAUACCCCAUAGUAUAUAACCUUCGCAUGUUGGUUAUAUUAAAGUUCCAACGGUAAAAGAUGAGCAUGCGUCCCAUUAGCUAGAUGGUAAGGUAACGGCUUACCAUGGCUACGAUGGGUAGGGGUCCUGAGAGGGAGAUCCCCCACACUGGUACUGAGACACGGACCAGACUCCUACGGGAGGCAGCAGUGAGGAAUAUUGGACAAUGGGCGCAAGCCUGAUCCAGCCAUGCCGCGUGCAGGAAGACGGUCCUAUGGAUUGUAAAGUGCUUUGUACGGGAAGAAACACUCCAACGUGUGGAGCUGAC
RNAcentral lists this ribosomal RNA (425 nucleotides) under uncultured bacterium. RNAcentral's name for it is "bacterial SSU rRNA". It matches the Rfam family "Bacterial small subunit ribosomal RNA", at positions 42 to 473 of the family's 1533-position model. The record is from RNAcentral.